UAUCAAUAAGCGGAGGAAAAGAAACUAACAAGGAUUCCCCUAGUAACUGCGAGUGAAGCGGGAAAAGCUCAAAUUUAAAAUCUGGCGGUCCCUGUGGCCGUCCGAGUUGUAAUUUAGAGAAGCGUUAUCCGCGCUGGACCGUACACAAGUCUCCUGGAAUGGAGCGUCAUAGAGGGUGAGAAUCCCGUCUUUGGUACGGACUGCCAGGGCAUUGUGAUGCGCUCUCAAAGAGUCGAGUUGUUUGGGAAUGCAGCUCAAAAUGGGUGGUAAAUUCCAUCUAAAGCUAAAUAUUGAGGAGAGACCGAUAGCGAACAAGUACCGUGAGGGAAAGAUGAAAAGAACUUUGGAAAGAGAGUUAAACAGUACGUGAAAUUGCUGAAAGGGAAACGCUUGAAGUCAGUCGCGUCGUUCAGGACUCAGCCUUGCUUUUGCUUGGUGUACUUCCUGUUCGAUGGGUCAACAUCAGUUUUGGCCGGUGGAUAAAGGCUUGGAGAAUGUGGCACCUUCGGGUGUGUUAUAGCUCUGGGUCGCAUACAUCGGCUGGGACUGAGGAACUCAGCACGCCGCAAGGCCGGGUACUUGUACCACGUACGUGCUUAGGAUGUUGGCAUAAUGGCUUUAAUCGACCCGUCUUGAAACACGGACCAAGGAGUCUAACAUGCCUGCGA
Molecule: ribosomal RNA, 668 nt
Filed under: Mycena solis
Lineage: Eukaryota; Fungi; Basidiomycota; Agaricomycetes; Agaricales; Mycenaceae
Description: Mycena sp. AC-2018f partial large subunit ribosomal RNA
Rfam family: Eukaryotic large subunit ribosomal RNA
Source: RNAcentral